This 408-nucleotide ribosomal RNA is filed under the name uncultured bacterium. RNAcentral describes it as "bacterial SSU rRNA". It matches the Rfam family "Bacterial small subunit ribosomal RNA", at positions 29 to 483 of the family's 1533-position model. The record is from RNAcentral.
AACGAACGCUGGCGGCAUGCCUAACACAUGCAAGUCGAACGAAGUCUUCGGACUUAGUGGCGCACGGGUGCGUAACGCGUGGGAAUCUGCCCUUGGGUACGGAAUAACUCAGAGAAAUUUGUGCUAAUACCGUAUAAUGUCGUAAGACCAAAGAUUUAUCGCCCAAGGAUGAGCCCGCGUAAGAUUAGCUAGUUGGUAGGGUAAAAGCCUACCAAGGCGACGAUCUUUAGCUGGUCUGAGAGGAUGAUCAGCCACACUGGGACUGAGACACGGCCCAGACUCCUACGGGAGGCAGCAGUGGGGAAUAUUGGACAAUGGCGAAAGCCUGAUCCAGCAAUGCCGCGUGAGUGAUGAAGGCCCUAGGGUUGUAAAGCUCUUUUACCCGGGAUGAUAAUGACAGUACCGGGA